RNAcentral lists this ribosomal RNA (793 nucleotides) under uncultured bacterium. RNAcentral describes it as "bacterial SSU rRNA". It matches the Rfam family "Bacterial small subunit ribosomal RNA", at positions 8 to 796 of the family's 1533-position model. The record is from RNAcentral.
AGAGUUUGAUCAUGGCUCAGGAUGAACGCUAGCGGCAGGCUUAAUACAUGCAAGUCGAGGGGCAGCAGGUCCCGCAAGGGAUGCUGGCGACCGGCAAACGGGUGCGGAACACGUACGCAACUUUCCUUCAAGUGAGGAAUAGCCCAGGGAAACUUGGAUUAAUACCUCGUAAUAUUAUGAAGUGGCAUCACUUUAUAAUUAUAGCUCCGGCGCUUGAAGAUGGGCGUGCGCCUGAUUAGGUAGUUGGCGGGGUAAUGGCCCACCAAGCCUACGAUCAGUAACUGGUGUGAGAGCACGACCAGUCACACGGGCACUGAGACACGGGCCCGACUCCUACGGGAGGCAGCAGUAAGGAAUAUUGGGCAAUGGACGCAAGUCUGACCCAGCCAUGCCGCGUGGAGGAUGAAGGUCCUCUGGAUUGUAAACUUCUUUUAUCUGGGAAGAAAUCCAUAUUUUCCAAUGUGGUUGACGGUACCAGAUGAAUAAGCACCGGCUAACUCCGUGCCAGCAGCCGCGGUAAUACGGAGGGUGCAAGCGUUAUCCGGAUUCACUGGGUUUAAAGGGUGCGUAGGUGGGCAGGUAAGUCAGUGGUGAAAUCUCCGGGCUUAACCCGGAAACUGCCGUUGAUACUAUCUGUCUUGAAUAUCGUGGAGGUUAGCGGAAUAUGUCAUGUAGCGGUGAAAUGCUUAGAUAUGACAUAGAACACCGAUUGCGAAGGCAGCUAACUACACGAUCAUUGACACUGAGGCACGAAAGCGUGGGGAGCAAACAGGAUUAGAUACCCUAGUAGUCC